UUAAGUUCAGCGGGUAGUCCUACCUGAUUUGAGGUCAAAUUGUCAAGUAAUGUUGUCCUCGCGGACGGUUAGAAGCGAGUCCGAACCAAGUCAACGACGUAGAUAAUUAUCACACCGAUAGACGGAGGUUCAGAUAUGAAUCUCGCUAAUACAUUUCAGGGGAGCAGACCGCGCUGAGGCAGCCUGCACAAACCCCCACA
RNAcentral lists this unclassified non-coding RNA (200 nucleotides) under Coprinellus sp. Its description in RNAcentral is "partial internal transcribed spacer 2". The record is from RNAcentral. Lineage: Eukaryota; Fungi; Basidiomycota; Agaricomycetes; Agaricales; Psathyrellaceae.